AUGAUUUCUUUUUUUUUUUUCUUUUUUUUUUUGGCCACACCUGAGGCAUUCGGAAGUUCCCUGCCCAGGGAUCAAACCUGUGACACAGCAGUGACAAUGCCCAAUCCUAAACCGAUAGGCCACCAGGGAACUGCUAAACUGCCAUUAUUAAACGGGAUUCGAAGUGCAUGCUGUUCUGAAAACAGGGGAUCAUCAGGCAUCCUGAACCAGGAGAACAGGGCUCUCGCUGGAACUGCACCCAUCACCGCUGUGGAGCCGGGGCCUCGCUUCUCACAAAGGGCUUCCAGACCACAGAUGAGCACAGUAGACUACUCUGAGGGGUGAGUUUGACUGGGGCACUCCCCAACAGUCUUAACAAGCUCUCAGAACUGCACUCACCUACGGUCCUGUGACCCAAAACCUGGGUUCAAAAACUGGGUUCACCUCCGUGGGGGUUGAGCUAAGACACAACCUAGCCAAAGACUGGGAGAAGGAAGGAUUUGUUAUUCCUCGUAGCAAGUUAAGGAGACCACCAGGGAUCUUUCCCAAAGUAGUGUUACCCUGAGCAGCAAAAUUGGGGAAGUUUUCAGCUGAGGGUACGUGCAUAUUCAUGAAGGGGCCUGAACUGAGGAGAAUUCGGCAAAAAAUUGGGGCCGAGGUCCACAGAGUCUCAACUUUUGUUGCUUGAAGUCAGGAGAAUCAACAUCAUCCUUCUGUCUUCCACCUGGGUGGGGGCCUUGGCUCCUGCAGAACUCAGAGAUAUAUUAGUAUGUGUUUCCCUUGAGGAAGAGCCAGGACUCUGCUUUGGGGCUGCAUU
Molecule: long non-coding RNA, 796 nt
Filed under: Sus scrofa (pig)
Lineage: Eukaryota; Metazoa; Chordata; Mammalia; Artiodactyla; Suidae
Description: lncRNA (ENSSSCG00055018532.1)
Source: RNAcentral